ACGAACGCUGGCGGCGUGCUUAACACAUGCAAGUCGAACGGAAAGGCCCCUUUGGGGGUACUCGAGUGGCGAACGGGUGAGUAACACGUGAGUAACCUGCCCUUGACUUCGGGAUAACUUCAGGAAACUGGGGCUAAUACCGGAUAGGAAUCCUUGCUGCAUGGUGGGGUUGGAAAGCUUCGGCGGUUUUGGAUGGACUCGCGGCUUAUCAGCUUGUUGGUGGGGUAGUGGCUUACCAAGGCUUUGACGGGUAGCCGGCCUGAGAGGGCGACCGGCCACAUUGGGACUGAGAUACGGCCCAGACUCCUACGGGAGGCAGCAGUGGGGAAUAUUGCACAAUGGGCGGAAGCCUGAUGCAGCAACGCCGCGUGCGGGAUGACGGCCUUCGGGUUGUAAACCGCUUUCAGCAGGGGCGAAGCUUGUGGUGACGGUACCUGCAGAAGAAGCACCGGCUAACUACGUG
RNAcentral lists this ribosomal RNA (463 nucleotides) under uncultured bacterium. RNAcentral's name for it is "partial 16S ribosomal RNA". It matches the Rfam family "Bacterial small subunit ribosomal RNA", at positions 29 to 507 of the family's 1533-position model. The record is from RNAcentral.